AUUUAUUUUGCCUAUAAAAGCAAAUUACCAACCUCUGCAAACUUCAUCUUUAAUCUCUCUCUCAAAUCAGCCCAUAAGCCCCCCCUCUUGGGGGCUGCCUUCUCUCUCUUAGAUAGACCAAAAAAAAUUUUCGAAAUUGCUUUCUUUGUGUUUGUGAAAACAGAGCCUCUGCUUCUCUCAAGAAUACCCAAUUCAAAUUGUUGGUCUUUAUUUUCAUUUCUAUAUAUAUAUAUAUUCUCUUGUUUUCCUUCUUGUGCUUGAUUUUUUGUCCUCUUCUGGCCUUUUUGGAUCUAAGUUUUGUUCUUUUUUAUUUAAUUUGUUUGGGUUUGGGUUUUGUUUAAUUACUCUGUAUUCUUCUUGCAGUGCAAAGAAUUGAUGGUGGUGAUGCCAACUGAUCCUCGUCCUCCUCUGAAGAUCAAGAACUCAAAUUUCCCUCCAAUCCCAAAGAGAGGCAGGGUCAAAGCUCAAAUUUUUGAGAGCUUGGCAAAGACUGUCGUCUCUGUGGCCUUCAAGGCAGGAGGAAUUCUGAAAAGAAACGGAGGAGAACGUGGAGAUAGCGGAAGUUCUUCCCCUGCGACCCCAGCACCCAGUCCCUUCCAACUCUAAAGCCAAUUCUGAUUUCUUAGACGCGAUCAGAUUGGUACUCAUGAACAAGUUGAAUCGUUUGGUGUAGCUUAAAGAUGUAGAAAACCAACAAGGGUUCCUUGCAUAACUCAUAUUUGAGCUAGUUUUAGCAAGGAUUAUACCCAUCUAUGUGUAUAUUUUGUAAUUCAGCGUCUUUGUAGCUAUGAUUUUGGCUGUCUUUUAGAGGAAGCCCAAAUCAUAUUCAUCAUUUCUCAAGUUUUAGGGAAGAGAUGAUAGUUUAUAUGUGUACUUGUGAUGGUGUCUUUGCUUUUUGUAUUCCCACUUCUCUGUUAAGUCAUGUCUACUUCUUGUAUUCUGUUAAUUGUAAUGGCAAUGAAUUUUAUUUGGCAUUUUGU
RNAcentral lists this unclassified non-coding RNA (980 nucleotides) under Hevea brasiliensis (rubber tree). The record is from RNAcentral. Lineage: Eukaryota; Viridiplantae; Streptophyta; Magnoliopsida; Malpighiales; Euphorbiaceae.